UAUGCCCUGACUGGGAAUCGAACUGUGACCUCCUGGUUCAUAGAUCAAUGCUCAACCACUGAGUCACGUCGUCCUGGCACAAGUGCCCAUUUGUUUUAUACAAGAUUCACACACAGUUUCUACACUACAGCAAUAAUACUAGUGAAAACAGAUUGUACACCCCCAUUCUUUUUAUUAUGUAGGUAUAUCUCACUAGGGAUGCCUAGUCACAUUGCUGUGUUUUAAAGUCACUUGAGUGUAUAGGAUUAUGUGUUUCAUUUUGUCUUUUAGGAACUUUUAAAGUAGUUUUGCUUUAUAAUUAUGAGAAAUAUUUAUAUAGUUCAAAGUUAAAUGUAGAGGGAAAAACAUAAUAUUCACAGAAAUCUGACUUCUACCUCCUAUUCAUCCUAUUUGCCCCUUCUCUCACAGGAAGCUUUUUAAUAGUUUAUUUUAAAAUUUAUUUUAAACAUAAGCAUGUAGUUUUAAAACCCGUCCUUAGAUAAGCAGAAGAGUAGUAUAUACAGUCUUCACCAUCUUGCUUUUUUCACUGUAUAAAUAUGUAGUUCCAUAAUGUAUAGAGACAGCCCUCAUUUCACAGCAUCUGGGCUCCUACACUACAGUUUAUCCCACCUUUUCCGGAUUAAUGGACAUUUGUAUUACUUCUACUUUUGUGUUAUUGCAAAUGGUGCUGCAAUAAAUAACUUUGUGCUGUUUGCGUUUUCACCAGCAUAGCAUUGGGAGAUUCCUAGAAGUGGGGUUGUUGGGUCAAAAGUUUUUUGGAGGCUGUUUUCCCUGGUUUGUUCUUUCAGGAUCACUGUUAAAUAAACUGAAGGGGAUCUAAAGAAAAAGCAGGAAGACCAGUUAGGAAGCUUUUGAAGGAA
Molecule: long non-coding RNA, 860 nt
Organism: Myotis brandtii (Brandt's bat)
Lineage: Eukaryota; Metazoa; Chordata; Mammalia; Chiroptera; Vespertilionidae
Exons: 3
Source: RefSeq, a predicted model, not a curated record